AAAAGAAACUUACGAGGAUUCCCCUAGUAACGGCGAGCGAACCGGGAGCAGCCCAGCUUGAGAAUCGGACGGCCCUGUCGCCCGAAUUGUAGUCUGUAGAAGCGCACUCAGCGACGGACCGGGCCCAAGUCCACUGGAAGGUGGCGCCGGAGAGGGUGACAGCCCCGUCGUGCCCGGACCCUGUCGCAUUGCGAGGCGCUGUCGGCGAGUCGGGUUGUUUGGGAAUGCAGCCCCAAUCGGGCGGUAAAUUCCGUCCAAGGCUAAAUACUGGCGAGGGACCGAUAGCGAACAAGUACCGCGAGGGAAAGAUGAAAAGGACUUUGAAAAGAGAGUCAAAGAGUGCUUGAAAUUGCCGGGAGGGAAGCGGAUGGGGGCCGGCGAUGCGCCUCGGUCGGAUGCGGAACGGCCUCAAGCCGGUCCGCCGCUCGGCUCGGGGCGCGGACUGUUGCGGGCCGCGGCGGCGGCCUAAGCCCGUGCGGAAGAUCCCGCGCGGGACGAACCGUCGCCUCGGUCGGGGAGAGUGGCACGCGCCUCGUCGGCGUGCCUUCGGGCACCGGCGUGCUCACGGCAACGGCCAGCGGG
This 582-nucleotide ribosomal RNA is filed under the name Sparattanthelium septentrionale. RNAcentral describes it as "eukaryotic LSU rRNA". It matches the Rfam family "Eukaryotic large subunit ribosomal RNA", at positions 57 to 636 of the family's 3401-position model. The record is from RNAcentral. Lineage: Eukaryota; Viridiplantae; Streptophyta; Magnoliopsida; Laurales; Hernandiaceae.